UGGCGGCGUGCCUAACACAUGCAAGUCAACUUGACUGAAGGAGCAAUCUGACAGUAGAGUGGCGCAAGGGUGCGUAACGCGUAAGUAACUUGCCCAAGGUAAGGAAUAACGUCGAGAAAUCGGCGCUAAUACCUCAUAAUGCAGCGGAUCCGCAUGGAUAUGUUGUUAAAGGUUUACCGCCUUGGGAUAGGCUUGCGUCUGAUUAGCUAGUUGGUGUGGUAACGGCACACCAAGGCUACGAUCAGUAACUGGUCUGAGAGGAUGAUCAGUCACACUGGAACUGAGACACGGUCCAGACUCCUACGGGAGGCAGCAGUGAGGAAUAUUGGGCAAUGCUCGAAAGAGUGACCCAGCAACGCCGCGUGGAGGAUGAAGGUAUUCUAUAUCGUAAACUCCUGUGAGAGCAGACGAAAGACAGAUUAUUAAUCUGGAUGACUGUAUGCUCAGAGGAAGCCCCGGCUAACUACGUG
This 470-nucleotide ribosomal RNA is filed under the name uncultured bacterium. RNAcentral's name for it is "bacterial SSU rRNA". It matches the Rfam family "Bacterial small subunit ribosomal RNA", at positions 37 to 507 of the family's 1533-position model. The record is from RNAcentral.